UAGGGAAUCUUCGGCAAUGGGGGGAACCCUGACCGAGCAACGCCGCGUGAGUGAAGAAGGUUUUCGGAUCGUAAAGCUCUGUUGUUAAGGAAGAACGAGUGUGAGAAUGGAAAGUUCAUGCUGUGACGGUACUUAACCAGAAAGGGACGGCUAACUACGUGCCAGCAGCCGCGGUAAUACGUAGGUCCCGAGCGUUGUCCGGAUUUAUUGGGCGUAAAGCGAGCGCAGGCGGUCAAUUAAGUCUGAUGUGAAAGCCCCCGGCUCAACCGGGGAGGGUCAUUGGAAACUGGUUGACUUGAGUGCAGAAGAGGAGAGUGGAAUUCCAUGUGUAGCGGUGAAAGGCGUAGAUAUAUGGAGGAACACCAGUGGCGAAGGCGACUCUCUGGUCUGUAACUGACGCUGAGGCUCGAAAGCGUGGGUAGCAAACAGG
This 430-nucleotide ribosomal RNA is filed under the name Bacteroidota bacterium. RNAcentral describes it as "Bacteroidetes bacterium partial 16S ribosomal RNA". It matches the Rfam family "Bacterial small subunit ribosomal RNA", at positions 355 to 776 of the family's 1533-position model. The record is from RNAcentral. Lineage: Bacteria; Pseudomonadati; Bacteroidota.